CCUACGGGUGGCAGCAGUGAGGCAUAUUGGUCAAUGGACGAGAGUCUGAACCAGCCAAGUAGCGUGAAGGAUGACUGCCCUAUGGGUUGUAAACUUCUUUUAUAUGGGAAUAAAAUGUUCCACGUGUGGGAUUUUGUAUGUACCAUAUGAAUAAGGAUCGGCUAACUCCGUGCCAGCAGCCGCGGUAAUACGGAGGAUCCGAGCGUUAUCCGGAUUUAUUGGGUUUAAAGGGAGCGUAGGUGGAUUGUUAAGUCAGUUGUGAAAGUUUGCGGCUCAACCGGAAAAUUGCAGUUGAAACUGGCAGUCUUGAGUACAGUAGAGGUGGGCGGAAUGCGUGGUGUAGCGGUGAAAUGCUUAGAUAUCACGAAGAACGCCGAUUGCGAAGGCAGUUCACUGGACUGCAACUGACACUGAGGCUCGAAAGUGUGGGUAUCAAACAGGAGUAGAUACCCGAGUAGUC
This 460-nucleotide ribosomal RNA is filed under the name uncultured bacterium. RNAcentral's name for it is "partial 16S ribosomal RNA". It matches the Rfam family "Bacterial small subunit ribosomal RNA", at positions 338 to 795 of the family's 1533-position model. The record is from RNAcentral.